Long non-coding RNA from Limulus polyphemus (Atlantic horseshoe crab), 1126 nucleotides. RefSeq lists it as uncharacterized. The transcript has 3 exons. Lineage: Eukaryota; Metazoa; Arthropoda; Merostomata; Xiphosura; Limulidae. The record is from RefSeq and is a predicted model, not a curated record.
GAGCAGAAUUUACUUUCAUUGGUUCAGAAGGACACGUGCUGCAGGCGGUCCUAUUACGACUUGUGUUAUCAAAGAAUAAAAAAGCCAGUCGCACAAAGGCAUCGAAUAUCUGAAGGCUCCAACUAACUCUAAGUUCCAAGUUAGUUCCAUUAAUUGAAAAAUAAGGAGCUCAGGCAUAUAAACCUGGUGGACAUUUUCUAGAUAUUUCUAGUUAGUUUAAAACAGAAUCAUCUAGAACGUUAACAGACCGAGAACGUGAAGAUGGCCAAAUUGUGUCCGAUUUUCAUUUGGAGCCUAAAAUGGACAAUGUUGGCUUUGGUAAUGACGAUGACAGUUGCGAACCCAUCUGGCUAUGAUGAAACCCAAUUGGUCUUGGAAUCAUUCAGUCAACUUCUUCAGCAACUUUUCCCUAUGAUUCCAACCAAAACGCAAUACGUUUGGAAGAUCACACAUCAGGAUCUUCCUUUGAAAAACACCAACACCUACUAUAAUAAGCUGGAUAAUGACGAUCCCGUUCUCUCCAAUGAAGUUCGACCUUGGAGUCUUGAGUCAGACUUUCGGAAGCGUGGUCCAGACUGUAUGAGAAAAUGCAUCGCUCAAGGCAUUCUUCACCCUGUCCAGUGUCACUCAUUGUGUUAAUGGAAGUGGCCUAAAUGUUGUCUCGCUCACGUCAUGUGAAAAAGGAAAUCUGUCAAUUCAGUGUCCCCUCGUUCCCAGUACCAUUGGAGAAAAUUUUACGUAAUUUCACGUUUUGUUUACAUUAAGGAACAUGUGGUAUAAGAAACGAAAUGAUUGUGCAUUCAAAACACGCUUUCAUAGAUUGGGUCUGACUUACUUAUAUAUAUGCGUAUAAAAUAAAAUACAGAAAUGAUAUUUGGAGUAAAGCAUUUUACAACUCACUAGACCAGAUGCACGUAUGUUUCUGAAGUAAUGGACUCGUAUUAGUUUUCUAAUGUAUUUGGAUUAUUUCAAUUCAACAAAAUUUGCCUAAGCCUAUAAUUAAUAGUUGUAUUGCCAAUAUAAAUAUAUAGAGUUAGAAUAUAUGUGUUUGGAGAAAAUUUAAGUAUGUUGUAUAUUUAUUUAUUUCAUUUCGACAAGUAUGUUACUAUGUGGACUACAAUGAAUA